RNAcentral lists this ribosomal RNA (52 nucleotides) under Lactarius helvus. Its description in RNAcentral is "partial 28S ribosomal RNA". The record is from RNAcentral. Lineage: Eukaryota; Fungi; Basidiomycota; Agaricomycetes; Russulales; Russulaceae.
UUGGCCUCAAAUCGGGUGAGACUACCCGCUGAACUUAAGCAUAUCAAUAAGC